Molecule: long non-coding RNA, 2253 nt
Organism: Gymnodraco acuticeps
Lineage: Eukaryota; Metazoa; Chordata; Actinopteri; Perciformes; Bathydraconidae
Exons: 5
Source: RefSeq, a predicted model, not a curated record
AGUAUUUCAUAUUAAGUGUUACGUUGUUAGUGCCAAGCACAAGUAUUAAGUGUCAAGUCUUUAAUUUUAAGUAUUUAGUAAUAAGUAUAAAGUGUUAAGAGUAAGUGUUUAGUUUAAGUUUUCUGUUUAAGUACUAAGUUGAAGUAUUAAGUAUUAAGUAUUUAGUGUUAAGAGUAAGUAUUUAGUAAUAAGUUUAAGUAUUUAGUAUUAAGAAUAAGUAUUUAGUGUUAAGAGUUAGUAUUUAGUUGAGUUAAGUUUACUUUCAUUGAUCUUAAUGUAUCUCACCACUGAUGAAUUGUCUUCCUCUGAAUCAGUUCCUGCUCCUCUGUUAACAGUCUUCUUACUCCAGCUUCAGCCUCAACAGCAACAGUUAUCACCUGCCAGAACACCUGCUCCACCCUCCAGCCUCCACCUGUUACUUCUACCAGACAAAACAUCAGCCUUGAGCUGCAGCCUGUGAGAUGACAGACUCCUCUCCACCUGCAGCCUCUGUCUCUCUGUUGCCUACAUCCUCUACCAGCAGCUUCAGCAUCAAACUGCUGCCUCACUCUUCACCUGCAGCCUCUGUCAGCAACCUGCAGCCAUCUCCUCCAACUGCACAUUCUGUUGAAUAGCUGAUGGCUGAACCUCCAUCUACAGCCUUUGCCAGUGCCUAUACCUCUCGAAGUGAACUGCUAUCCGAGCCUCCACCCACAGCCUCUGUCAGCAACCUGCAGCUUCCGCCUCCACCUGCAGAUUCCUACAGCCAUCUGAAGACGACCACUGGGGGAGUGGUCGUCUUCAGAUGAAGAUCCCCACAGAAAGCUGUGGCCAAACCUCCACCUACAGCCUCUAUAAGGAAACCUGCACAGAUGUUAUCCUACUGCCAUGUGGAGACCUGAGUGGAACAGCAAGGACCAGAGAAACACACGUGUUUUCAAACGUUGUGAAAGACUGAGCUCACACUCCUCAACAUGAACCUGACUGACUGUGAUGAUGCCUUCAUGAAACGAGAGAGCUCCACUAUCUACCAGGAGCUGCUUCAGGGCCCUGAGGACAACUCCUUUUACAACAGCUCUGUUCCAGAGAUGCUUCCUCCUCCUCCACAUCCUCCACCUUCACCACCCCUCCUGCUCAUCGCCAGAACUAAGAGUGCCCCACCCCAUCUCAGCAACCACCACCAGUUUCUCCUGCAGCCACCGCCUCCAUAUGUAGAUUCUGACAGACACUGCUGACAGCCAAACCUCCUCCUACAGCUUCUGCCAGUGCACCUGCGUCUACACCUCUUGAAGCCAACUGCGGCUGAACCUCCACCCACAGCCUCUGUCAGCAACCUGAACCAGCACCUACACCUCUCGUACACUACUGCCAUCCAAACCUCCACCUGUAACCUUUGCCAGCCGCCUGAAGACACCUCCUCCACCUGAAGAUCCCCACAGAAAGCUGGGGUCAAACCUCCACCUUCCGCCUCUAUAAGGAAACCUGCACAGAUGUUAUCCUACUGCUAUGGUUGGAUCUAAGUGGAACAGCAACGACCAGAGAAACACUGGUGUUUCCAUACGUUGUGUGAAAGACUGAGCACACACUCCUCAACAUGAACCUGACUGAUUGUGAUGAUGCCUUCAUGAAACAGAAAGAGCUCCUCUUCCUCCCACUUGCCUUGUUGGACUUCCAGAUCAAGAGAUGCUUCCUCCUCCCUAUCGUGCACGUUCACCACCCUUCCUGCUCAUUGCCAGGACUAAAAAUGCCCCUCCCCAUCUCUGCAACCACCAGCACUUUCUACGCAUGCCGAUUCAUUGAAGGCCAAAGAUUGCAGAGACGCUCCACCCGAGACUUCAGUGCCUUACUUUUCCAACAACGCCCCCUAAUACGACGUCCAAUGUGCUCUUUUAAGCCUCUGCACUGUUUUACAAUAAAUGAACUAUUGUCUGCAACCAUCUGAUCAGUAAUUUGAGACCAGAAUAAUUUGUAUAAAACAGAUCCUAAGGAUAUGAUUGUUUUUGUGUGUUUAAGUUGAAGUGUGUUCCUUUGUCAUGGUAUAUUAAUUAUUAGUCGCCACUUAUUUAGGGUUUAUAUUAAUACAUUAAUAACAUUAACACAUUCACUUUCUAGUAAUUCAUCAUGUCGGAAUUUCUUGAGCCAAAUGUACAAAGACAUCUGACACAAAAUGUAAUUACUGCAAUUACGGCUAUUUCAGCCAAUACAACAUUUCCACAAUCUCAUCUGAAAUAUCAACAAGUAUCAUUGAAAUGCGUAUUAAAUAAAUAAAAAGCG